This 253-nucleotide ribosomal RNA is filed under the name uncultured bacterium. Its description in RNAcentral is "partial 16S ribosomal RNA". It matches the Rfam family "Bacterial small subunit ribosomal RNA", at positions 524 to 776 of the family's 1533-position model. The record is from RNAcentral.
UACGAAGGGGGCUAGCGUUGCUCGGAAUCAUUGGGCGUAAAGGGUGCGUAGGCGGCGCGGUAAGUCGGGUGUGAAAUCUCGGAGCUUAACUCCGAAACUGCAUUCGAUACUGCCGUGCUUGAGGACUGGAGAGGAGACUGGAAUUUACGGUGUAGCGGUGAAAUGCGUAGAGAUGUGGAGGAACACCAGUGGCGAAGGCGGCUUUCUGGUCUGUAACUGACGCUGAGGCGCGAAAGCGUGGGGAGCAAACAGG